ACUCAAAUGAAUUGACGGGGGAGCGCACAACCAGUGGAGCGUGUGGUUUAAUUCGAUACAAAGCGAAAAACCUUACCUGGGUUUGACAUGCAUCCGUAUGAGUUCGGUGAAAAUCGAGCUUCUUCAGGAUACACAGCUGCUGCAUGGCUGUCGUCAGCUCGUGCCGUGGGGUGUCGGCUUCAGUGCCGUAACGAGCGCAACCCCUAUUCUAUGUUAGAUGUACAUAGAAGACUGCCUGCCGAUGAGGCAGGAGGAAGGCGGGGAUGAUGUCAAGUCAGCAUGGCGCUUAUAUCCAGGGCUACACACACCCUACAAUGGAACGGACAACGGGUUGCCAAACCGCGAGGUGGAGCUAAUCCCUUAAACCGUUUCUCAGUUGGGAUUGCAGGCUGCAACUCGCCUGCAUGAACUAGGAAUUGGUAGUAAUCGCAGAUCAGCAGGCUGCGGUGAAUACGUUCUCGCUCCUUGUACACACCGCCCGU
RNAcentral lists this ribosomal RNA (482 nucleotides) under uncultured bacterium. RNAcentral's name for it is "partial 16S ribosomal RNA". It matches the Rfam family "Bacterial small subunit ribosomal RNA", at positions 899 to 1397 of the family's 1533-position model. The record is from RNAcentral.